RNAcentral lists this ribosomal RNA (497 nucleotides) under uncultured bacterium. RNAcentral describes it as "partial 16S ribosomal RNA". It matches the Rfam family "Bacterial small subunit ribosomal RNA", at positions 28 to 507 of the family's 1533-position model. The record is from RNAcentral.
GAUGAACGCUGGCGGCGUGCCUAAUACAUGCAAGUCGAGCGAAGAGAUUAGGAGGUUGCGCCUCUGACGUUAGCGGCGGAAGGGAGAGUAACACAUGGAUAACCUACCUAUAAGACAGGGAUAAGUAAGGGAAGCCGGUGCUAAUAACGGACAAAAUACUGAACGGCAUGGUUCGAUAGUGAACAACGCGUUUGCGGUUACUUAUAGGUGGGUCCGCGCCGCAGUCGCCAGUUGGUAAGGUAACGGCUUACCAAGGCAGCGAUGCGUAGCCGACCUGAGAGGGUGAUCGGCCACACUGGAACUGAGGCACGGUCCAGACUCCUACGGGAGGCAGCGGUAGGGAAUCUUCCGCAAUGGGCGAAAGCCUGACGGUGCAACACCGAGUGAGUGAUGAAGGUCUUCGGAUCGUAAAGCUCUGUUAUUAGGGAAGAACAAAUGUGUAAGUAACUAUGCACGUCUUGACGGUACCUAAUCAGAAAGCCACGGCUAACUACGUG